AUUUAUUCACGAGACCUCAAACAAAGCCCAAACCCAAGAAAAGAGAAAAGAAAGAAAGAAAGAAAGAAAGAAAUCGCCUAACUUGAGAUUGAGAAGUUUCGAGGGAGGCACCCUUGUUUUAGUUUUGUAAUACCCCUUUUCUUUAGAUGAAUUUUGGUACAUUAUUAAAGGUCAAUAAUAAUAAUAACAAUAAUAAGAAGAGGAACUUGCACUGCUCUUUGAAACGGAGGGAGGCAGGCAGCUGUUGUCUAACACUGCAUGUUGUUGGUCAAAAAAGAAAGCACCGUUGUUCAUUGUUGUAUUACAUUUUCCACAAUUAAUCUUCUCUAACCCUAGAGACUUGUCUACUCGUUGUUUUUGUUUUUAUGCAAACGACUUUCCAUUGUUUCUCCUUUGAUUUUCUUCUUCUUUUUCUUCUUUUUCUUUCCCUGGAGUACUACUGCUGGUCUCAUAGAUCUCAAAUCAUUGUAAAUAUAAAUAGAUCACAUGGAAAUUGGAUCCGCAGCUGGUAUUAUUAGUACUGAAGAAGAGCAGAUGAGUAAAGGUAAACAUCUCCCUUUCUCAUACUCAUCGUCUUCGUCUCCAUCUUCUUCUUCCUCUCAGCACAAGCCCCAUCAUCUGCUUGCUCUCUCUCAAAUCUAUGAUAAGAACCACCAUCCUCAAGUGGGUUCUUGGCUGGGAAGCAAGUACGACCCUGAGCAGGAAGAUGCCGGAAGUGCUGCAGGCAUCUUCGAAGAAGAGGAAGGCAGUGGCGAAGGAGAGUGCGGUGUUGUGAUACAAAAGGAACAUAUGUUUGAUAAGGUGGUCACCCCGAGUGAUGUGGGAAAGCUGAAUCGGUUAGUGAUCCCAAAGCAGCAUGCAGAAAAGUACUUUCCAUUAGAUUCAUCAACCAAUGACAAGGGUCUUCUUUUGAAUUUCGAGGAUAAAACUGGUAAAGCUUGGAGAUUUCGCUACUCUUACUGGAAUAGCAGCCAAAGCUAUGUUAUGACCAAAGGUUGGAGUCGUUUUGUUAAGGAUAAGAAGCUUGACGCCGGUGAUAUUGUCUCCUUUCAGAGAGGGGUAGGUGAGGCUGCUAAAGAUCGUCUCUACAUUGAUUGGAGACGCCGUCCUGAUGGUCCUCAUCACCAACCUACUCACCGUCAUCAGCAGCACCAUUUAUCGUCUAUACCUUGGAGCCCUCUACUGAUGCGGCCGCCACCAGUGCCUAGGGACCACUUUCAUUUGUCCAAUCCCAAUUAUUACAACAGUAGUGGUGGAGGUGGAGGUGCAUCUGCUUACGGUUUCGGUUAUGGUUACAAUAGCAGCAAUAACUAUAAUUACAAUAGCAAUGUUGGUUCAUCUAAUUCAGGGACAAUAAUAUACAUGAGAUCCCCACAACAGGCUGGAAUGGUGCAAUGGCAGCAAGCAGCUGCAAGCAGUGGUGGCUUUAUGGAGCCAAUGGUGUUUGAGUCGGUGCCGGUGGUCCAAGGGAAAGCCGCUGCUAAGAGAUUGAGGCUCUUUGGUGUUAACAUGGAUUGCCCCAUAUCUGAUUCUGAUCAUGAAUGUGACAAAUUAUCCACUUCCACACCUAUACCUGCUAUGGCAGCAGCAUUACAGCAGCCCUCUCAUCAUCCGCUUCAAUUAAGGCUGUACAAUGGCACGCCUUUGCCUUCCCCGCAAUUCCUUCACAAAGGUUGUUGUUCUUGUCGCUGCUUCCUUGGGCAGGCUCGCCAGGUUUUGCAGAGAUUGUUGCAGAGCUUUUAAUGUUUUCCUUCUUCCCCUCUUAAUUCUUAUUCUUCUCCCGCAACUUCUCAUCAUAAUUUCGCCACAGCCUCAUUACCGAUUACUCUAAUCUACAAAAGGAUGCCCUAGAUUAAAGGCCUAUCUUUAUUCGCGAGGUUUCUUCUUUCUUCUUCGUCCAUCUCAUUGCUUUUCAUUGGCUGCACGACUUAAUUACCAUGGACUAGUCCCAAGAGGUGAAAUUAACCGACCAAGGAUGAUCGCCAACAAUUACUAUCAUUUGCUUAGGGCUUAUAAGUAGGCUGUGCAUCAUCAUCUUUGUCACUUCUUUUUCAAUAGCAUCGGUACGACGCCAGAAAGUUAGCUAGUGGAGCUGUAUAGUAUAGGGAUAGUUCGCAACAGAUGAAGUCGCAUAACUAGCUAUCCCAUUAUUUGAUAUUUAAAUUAUUGUCCAUGGACCUUUCCCCAAUUCAAGUGGCCAGAAGAAAGUGUCCUAGUUUUCGUGAGCCACAAAUAAACCUUUCUUCAUGAAAAAUAAAUAUAAAAAAAUGUUUCUACGUUCUCCUCUUUCCUCGAUUGUUAAACAGAUGAGGUCUGAGUUUUGAUUGUGCGGUAAGCUUUUCUUCCAUUAAACUUAGCCCGAGAUCCAACCGUAACAUAAUGUUAAUAUGCGAGUGUUUAUGUGAAGAACAAAUCUGCUGCUAGUUCUUGAUUAAAUGUGGUUUUGUUCCAGUU
RNA transcript from Ricinus communis (castor bean), 2454 nucleotides. It is a transcript of the gene named B3 domain-containing transcription factor NGA1, with no coding region annotated. The record is from RefSeq and is a predicted model, not a curated record. NCBI's taxonomy places the organism in Eukaryota, Viridiplantae, Streptophyta, Magnoliopsida, Malpighiales, Euphorbiaceae. The transcript is spliced from 4 exons.